AACGAACGCUGGCGGCAUGCCUAACACAUGCAAGUCGAACGAGACCUUCGGGCCUAGUGGCGCACGGGUGCGUAACGCGUGGGAACCUGCCCUUAGGUUCGGAAUAACUCCCCGAAAGGGGUGCUAAUACCGGAUAAUGUCUUCGGACCAAAGAUUUUUCGCCUUUGGAUGGGCCCGCGUUGGAUUAGUUAGUUGGUAGGGUAAAAGCCUACCAAGGCGACGAUCCAUAGCUGGUCUGCGAGGAUGACCAGCCACACUGGGACUGAGACACGGCCCAGACUCCUACGGGAGGCAGCAGUGGGGAAUAUUGGACGAUGGGCGAAAGCCUGAUCCAGCAAUGCCGCGUGAGUGAUGAAGGCCUUAGGGUUGUAAAGCUCUUUUACCCGGGAUGAUAAUGACAGUACCGGGAGAAUAAGCUCCGGCUAACUCCGUG
This 433-nucleotide ribosomal RNA is filed under the name uncultured bacterium. Its description in RNAcentral is "partial 16S ribosomal RNA". It matches the Rfam family "Bacterial small subunit ribosomal RNA", at positions 29 to 507 of the family's 1533-position model. The record is from RNAcentral.